Molecule: ribosomal RNA, 484 nt
Filed under: Penicillium citrinum
Lineage: Eukaryota; Fungi; Ascomycota; Eurotiomycetes; Eurotiales; Aspergillaceae
Description: eukaryotic LSU rRNA
Rfam family: 5.8S ribosomal RNA (bases 134-287)
Source: RNAcentral
CGGGUCCCUCGGGGCCCAACCUCCCACCCGUGUUGCCCGAACCUAUGUUGCCUCGGCGGGCCCCGCGCCCGCCGACGGCCCCCCUGAACGCUGUCUGAAGUUGCAGUCUGAGACCUAUAACGAAAUUAGUUAAAACUUUCAACAACGGAUCUCUUGGUUCCGGCAUCGAUGAAGAACGCAGCGAAAUGCGAUAACUAAUGUGAAUUGCAGAAUUCAGUGAAUCAUCGAGUCUUUGAACGCACAUUGCGCCCUCUGGUAUUCCGGAGGGCAUGCCUGUCCGAGCGUCAUUGCUGCCCUCAAGCCCGGCUUGUGUGUUGGGCCCCGUCCCCCCCGCCGGGGGGACGGGCCCGAAAGGCAGCGGCGGCACCGCGUCCGGUCCUCGAGCGUAUGGGGCUUCGUCACCCGCUCUAGUAGGCCCGGCCGGCGCCAGCCGACCCCCAACCUUUAAUAUCUCAGGUUGACCUCGGAUCAGGUAGGGAUGCCC